This is an RNA transcript of Carlito syrichta (Philippine tarsier), 1345 nucleotides long. It is a transcript of the gene named transformer-2 protein homolog beta pseudogene, with no coding region annotated. Lineage: Eukaryota; Metazoa; Chordata; Mammalia; Primates; Tarsiidae. The transcript has a single exon. The record is from RefSeq and is a predicted model, not a curated record.
CUUCGGCUCCGGGCGGCUCGGGAACCAGUGCGUAGAGCGAGGCUGUGGCGGAGCCUCAGAGAAGGCGCAAGCGGUUGGCAGCUUCCGUGGAAGCACGUGACAGCACCUGGGAGUCAAGAGCGACAGCGGCAAGCAGAACUACGGCGAGCUGGAAUCCCGUUCUGCUUCCAGAAGUGGAAGUGCUCACGGAUUGGGGAAAUCUGCAAGGCAUACCCCUGCAAGGUCUUGCUCCAAGGAAGAUUCCAGGCGUUCCAGAUCAAAGUCCAGGUCCAGAUCUGAAUCUAGGUCUAGAUCCAGAAGAAGCUCCCUAAGGCAUUAUGCAAGGCCACGGUCUCGGGCCCGCUCCCAUAGACGAUCCCGUAGCAGAUGUCACGGUCGAGAUUAUCGUAGACGGCACAGCCACAGCCAUUCUCCCAUGUCUACUCGCAGGCGCCAUGUUGGGAAUCGGGCAAAUCCUGAUCCAAACUGUUGUCUUGGAGUAUUUGGUUUGAGCUUGUACACCACAGAAAGAGAUCUAAGAGAAGUGUUCUCUAAGUAUGGUCCCAUUGCCGAUGUCUCUAUUGUACAUGACCAGCAGUCUAGACAUUCAAGAGGAUUUGCCUUUGUGUAUUUUGAAAAUGUAGAUGAUGCCAAGGAAGCUAAAGAACGUGCCAAUGGAAUGGAACUUGAUGGGUGUAGAAUCAGAGUUGAUUUCUCUAUAACAAAAAGACCACAUACCCCAACACCAGGAAUUUACAUGGGGCGACCUACCUAUGGCAGCUCUCGACGUCGGGAUUACUACCACAGAGGAUAUGAUUGAGGUUAUGAUGAUCGGGACUACUACAGCUGAUCAUACAGAGGAGGAGGUGGAGGAGGAUGAGGAUGGAGAGCUGCGCAAGACAGGGAUCAGAUUUAUAGAAGGCGGUCACCUUCUUACUACAGUCGUGGAGGAUACAGAUCACGUUCCAGAUCUCGAUCAUACUCACCUCGUCGCUAAAGACUUUCCGAAAUCUGCCCUUGAGCUGGGAUAUUGUUUGUGGACAAUAUUUUUUAUUGUCUCUUGUUUAAAAAGUGAACAGUGCCUAGUGAAGUUAGGUUACAUUUACACCUUUUAUGAUGACUACUUUUGGUGGAGUUGAAAUGCUGUUUUCAUUCUGCAUUUGUGUAGUUCGGUGCUGUGUUCAAAGUUUAGUGUUUUCAGAAAAGUAUGUUUUGCAUGUAUUUUUUAUAGUCUCAAUUUUGACUGCUGAGAAGUUUCUAUUGUACAAAACUUCAUUUAAAAGGUUUUUCUACUGAUCCAGGGUAUUCUGAAGAUCGAAGCCUGUGUGUAAAAUGCUACAAAUGGCAAAAAGCAACAAUAAACAGU